Molecule: long non-coding RNA, 392 nt
Filed under: Nicotiana benthamiana
Lineage: Eukaryota; Viridiplantae; Streptophyta; Magnoliopsida; Solanales; Solanaceae
Description: long non-coding RNA (NBEN_LNC003951)
Source: RNAcentral
UAUUGGAAGCCAUAAUCACACUAGAUAUUCACAGGUAAAAUCAAAUAUCCACACACAGAACCAGAUAUUCACACAGAAAAUCAGAUACUCACCUACUGAGCCAGAUAAUCACACAGAACACAUACAAUAGUCAAGAUAAGGAAAGAGUUACCCUCCUUCUUCGCGACCGGAGAAGAUCGGCCUUCAAGUAAACAGAGAAAACCCUAGGUACAACCGUCAGAAAAUCUUACUGUAAGUAUGAUCAGGAAUGUCGGAAUAUCACCCAAAACAUCGUCUGAGUGAGGAUCGAGCCACCGGAUGGUAGUAAUACUUUAGGUCAAACCACCAGAAACCCUAGAAGCCGAUAGGUCACCCAAAAAUCAACCAAGAAUCAUCAUAAAUUCUUCGAGAAC